RNAcentral lists this long non-coding RNA (939 nucleotides) under Triticum aestivum (bread wheat). Its description in RNAcentral is "long non-coding RNA (TAES_LNC002215)". Lineage: Eukaryota; Viridiplantae; Streptophyta; Magnoliopsida; Poales; Poaceae. The record is from RNAcentral.
CCAUAUGUAACUACUAAAAAAGGGACAUGUCCAACAGACUCAGGUAUAUAGCAAAAACUUGUAAACUGACUCUGCAAGCAGAUCACGUGAAAUACCAACAGUACUAAAGGCCCGUUUCCAUUGUACAGAAAUCCAGUCCAUACGGGCAGAUUGUUACAGAUUUAUGAGUUUUGCUAUAUAUAUGAAAAUAGAAAGACAUGUCCAACGGACUUUGCUACUUUCCAUUUUUUUGUAAACUGACACUGCUGGAUACAAGUUAAGAAUUCAAGAUGCUAAGAUGUCCUGUUCAUCUGACUGCAGGCAGAUGAAGGCCGUCAAAGAUCACAAGCGCAGCUUGCUAUUGUACAGGUUUAGAAUUUAGAAAGGUGACCUAUUUUUUCAUGUGAACUUACCUAUUCUUUGCUAUUCAGAAUGAUUAUUUAUCUUCCCAUUGCUGUGUUAAUUGAUUCAUAUGCGGUUCUGCUAUUCUGACAAGGAUAUCCAUCAAGGUUAUUUGGAGGGACAUAAUGAAACGUCACAAGUUCUACUUUGCUGAUUCUUUCAGAGAAUUGUUUCAUUACUAAUGCGCUGUCGCGGACAUGUAUUAAUCCCAAAUUCCAAAUCACUCUGGAAUCCAGUCAAAAUCCAGUCAAAAUCACUCCGGAAUCCUUCUCCGUAAUUGAUUCGCAAACUACUCUCAAGGACUGCUCUGAACCUCAAAUAUCGUGGGCACAUGAAGUUGUGGUGUAAUUUUUACAGAAACAAGUGAUCCAGGCAGCAAGGUAUUGAUUGAUGCAACUAUGUUGUAAUGUUUCAGUGACUGUUAAUAUUUUUUUAGGAAGAAUAACCAAUUCAGAUGAUACCCAAGGAGUUCUGGAUGGGAGAUUGUUUAUUUCUACGUCGUGCAAUUCAACAUUUCAGUACUAAAAGUAUUUUUCAUGUUAUCCAAGUAUUUUUCAU